ACCGUUAAUUUUGCCCUAAAACUAAGUAUUCAUAGAUCCGCAAGAUCUAUACCACUUCCUGAAUUUCAAAUUUUAUUGCGGGUAUUGGAAAUUUAUUUAGAACAUCAAAGACAUACGAGGAUUUGAGAUGGGGCAUUAUUUGUUUUCAUAAACCUUAAGUCCUAUAGAAACAUCAUCCUUUAUCAACAAAAGUUGGGCCAUUUUUUAUACACGUGGGGAUGUAUAUUCGUCAAAUACAAUAUUCAUAUUCCACUUGGAGCAGUGAGAUUUUCUUAAAUAAACCAUUACAUCACCUUUAUGGAAAGUAGCAGGCCAAAAAACAUUCUCUCAAUAAAUUAAUUAUGUAAUAAGUAGUUUCUCACAAUGCCCUCUUAUCAUAUCUCCAGCGCUUGGACAAAAACACACUCCCUCUCUCUCUCUCUCCAAUCAAAAUAUCCAGUCUCUCUUUCCAUGGCACUCUCACGAAAAUCUGCACAUUUUCUACAACCAUAGAACACCAUACUUAAUAAUUUUGCACUAAAUUCCACAUGGCAAAAACACGAAAAACAUUGAAAAGUACACAAAAAUAUAAUUAAGCUGCAGGAGCGCAAUCAUAAUCAUCAUCGUCAUCGUCGUCUCCUUCCCCGAUUCUCUUCUGAUGCCAUUUCUGGCCAACAAAAGGAGCAUCAUACCUCUGCAACAUUAUUCUUUAUGACAAAAAAAGAAACUAAAUGAAGAACCAGUAAAAAAAAAGAGACAAUGGAAAAUUGUAAUAGUAAAGAAAGUAUUAGGAAUGGAGAAAGUGAAU
This 787-nucleotide long non-coding RNA is filed under the name Amborella trichopoda. RNAcentral describes it as "long non-coding RNA (ATRI_LNC003091)". Lineage: Eukaryota; Viridiplantae; Streptophyta; Magnoliopsida; Amborellales; Amborellaceae. The record is from RNAcentral.